This is a non-coding RNA of Pelobates cultripes (western spadefoot toad), 207 nucleotides long. The record is from the annotation of a GenBank genome assembly. Lineage: Eukaryota; Metazoa; Chordata; Amphibia; Anura; Pelobatidae.
CUCCAUUAGGAAAGAAAUCCUGGAUGGGAAGGACGUGUGUCUGGUGUCAUUGCUUAUAGCCUCCCAAGACGUACUGGAGAACAGGGCUUAUAACUUUGGGGAUAUUUCGGUGGUUCUUAAAACCAGAGACCCUAGGCUCAAUAAAAAAUUAUCUAUUCCCAAUUUCGUUUUAUCUUUUGGGAUAUACCGUGAUGUCAUCUGCUCGGU